AGUCCCCGUCCCCCUGAGUAGGACCCGCCUUCACAGCGACAUGCACGCCAGAGUGGUAGCCGUGCUCCUGAGCGCGGCCGCGCUGGUCGAAGGCGGGGUGGUUGGCCCGUACCCCGCCGGCCCCUACGUUACCGGCCCCAGCCCCGCCGGCAUCUACCCUGCUGGACCCUACCCCGCCGGACUCUACCCCGUGUACCCGGGGCCCGUCCGGCCUGCGCUCUACGCGCCCGCCCCCGUGUACCCUGACACCGUCCCCAAGUACAGUUUCGGGUACUCGGUCCAAGACGCGCACACCGGCGACGCCAAGAGCCAGCACGAGAGCCGCGACGGCGACGUGGUGCGGGGCAGCUACUCGCUCCUAGAGCCGGACGGCUCGACCAGGACAGUGCACUACUCGGCCGACCCCCACAACGGCUUCAACGCCGUGGUCGACAGGACGCCCGCCGCCCACCCGGCGCUGCCCAAGGUCGUCGCACCUGCCGUUCCCUUGCACGCACCGGGGCCUCUACCGGGUCCUCUGCCCGGACCCCUCCUGGGGCCAGGGCCUCUCCCGGGCCCCUUCCUGGAGCCAGGGCCUCUGCCGAGUCCUCUGCUGGGCCCAGGGCCUCUACCGGGUCCUCUACUGGGUCCAGGGCCUGGGCCCGGACCGCUGUUGGCGCCAGGCCCAUACUACCACGGCUGACAUCUGACGGAGCCACUGGCCUCUGCGGUCGCAUUGGACGGCUUCUGCCCACCAUCCACUAACAUCUUACCAAACACUGUUGGCAACCCAACGUGUAGCGGCGACGGCGGAGGGGCAGCGCGGACACUGACACAAUCCCAGCACAACGAGAAAUAUCCGCCGACGGAACUAGAGCUUUAAACGUCAAGCUAUCCAUGUGAGGUAAGGACUGCUACGCCAAGGGAGAAGAGACGAAUCUACGGAUAAGGCAAGAUAACGAAUCACAUUAUGCAUUAUUGUUCUCUCCCCACAAUGAA
This is an RNA transcript of Frankliniella occidentalis (western flower thrips), 978 nucleotides long. It is a transcript of the gene named cuticle protein 7-like, with no coding region annotated. Lineage: Eukaryota; Metazoa; Arthropoda; Insecta; Thysanoptera; Thripidae. The record is from RefSeq and is a predicted model, not a curated record. The transcript is spliced from 5 exons.